RNAcentral lists this ribosomal RNA (923 nucleotides) under uncultured bacterium. RNAcentral describes it as "bacterial SSU rRNA". It matches the Rfam family "Bacterial small subunit ribosomal RNA", at positions 8 to 921 of the family's 1533-position model. The record is from RNAcentral.
AGAGUUCGAUUCUGGCUCAGAACGUACGCUAGCGGUGUGGAUUAGGCAUGCAAGUCGUGCGCGAAAGCCUUCGGGCGAGUAAAGCGGCGAAAGGGUGAGUAACACGUAACCAACGUACCCCUCAGAUCGGAAUAACCUCUGGAAACGGUGGGUAAUGCCGAAUGGUCCCAGGAGAGACAUCUCUCCGAGGGUAAACGGUGCCUUCGGGUGCUGCUGAGGGAGCGGGUUGCGGCCUAUCAGUUUGUUGGUGGGGUAACGGCCUACCAAGACGAUGACGGGUAGCGGGUCUGAGAGGAUGAUCCGUCACACUGGGACUGAGACACUGCCCAGACUCCUACGGGAGGCUGCAGUCGAGAAUCUUCCACAAUGGGCGAAAGCCUGAUGGAGCGACACCGCGUGCAGGAUGAAGGCCUUAGGGUUGUAAACUGCUGUCACGCUAUAGGAACCCAUGGUCGUUAAUAGCGGCCGUGCUGACCAAAGCGAGAGGAAGCGCCGGCUAACUCCGUGCCAGCAGCCGCGGUAAUACGGAGGGCGCAAGCGUAGUUCGGAUUUACUGGGCAUAAAGAGCACGUAGGCGGCUCGCUCAGUCAGGUGUGAAAGCCCACGGCUCAACCGUGGAACUGCACCUGAUACUGGCGAGCUUGAGGACGGAAGGGGUGAGUGGAACUCCAGGUGGAACGGUGAAAUGUAUAGAUAUCUGGAGGAACACCGGUGGCGAAAGCGGCUCACUGGUCCGUCUCUGACGCUGAGGUGCGAAAGCUAGGGUAGCGAACGGGAUUAGAUACCCCGGUAGUCCUAGCCGUAAACGAUGGGCACUAGGCAAUGGGCCCUCCUAUGAGGUUCAUUGCCGGAGCUAAUGUGUUAAGUGCCCCGCCUGGGGAGUACGCUCGCAAGGGUAAAACUCAAAUGAAUUGACGGAAUCA